AAUGAAGCCGGGAAACCGGUCCUUCUAACCCUUGAUUAUCUCAAUUUGUUGCUUUGGUGGGCCGCGCAAGCACCGGCUUCGGCUGGAUCGUGCCCGCCAGAGGACCACAACUCUGUAUUAAAUGCCGUCUGAGUACCAUAAAAUAGUUAAAACUUUCAACAACGGAUCUCCUGGUUCU
Molecule: unclassified non-coding RNA, 178 nt
Filed under: rhizosphere metagenome
Description: partial ribosomal RNA internal transcribed spacer region
Source: RNAcentral